GAUGAAGAACGCAGCGAAAUGCGAUAACUAAUGUGAGUUGCAGAAUUCCGUGAAUCAUCGAGUCUUUGAACGCACAUUGCGCCCCCUGGUAUUCCGGGGGGCAUGCCUGUCCGAGCGUCAUUGCUGCCCAUCAAGCACGGCUUGUGUGUUGGGUCCUCGUCCCCCCCGGGGGACGUGCCCGAAAGGCAGCGGCGGCACCGCGUCCGGUCCUCGAGCGUAUGGGGCUUUGUCACCCGCUCUGCAGGCCCGGCCGGCGCUGGCCGACGCGAAAGCAACCAUUUUUUCUCCAGGUUGACCUCGGAUCAGGUAGGGAUACCCGCUGAACUUAAGCAUAUCAAUAAGCGGAGGA
RNAcentral lists this unclassified non-coding RNA (349 nucleotides) under soil metagenome. RNAcentral's name for it is "partial contains 5.8S ribosomal RNA, internal transcribed spacer 2, and large subunit ribosomal RNA". The stretch from base 1 to 120 matches the Rfam family "5.8S ribosomal RNA", at positions 35 to 154 of the family's 154-position model. The record is from RNAcentral.